GUGAAAGUGCUCUGAACUCCUGUCUGAUUUCCGAGAGAUACAGAAAAGAGAAAGUACCAGUUAUACUAUGUAUCUUCACUGGGUCAGUAAAGCUCAUUUUCUAAACUCCAAGAAAAUCAAAGAUGCGUGUCUCUCUCAGACCUCACCAGAGAAGUUUCUUUGUGCAGUGGACUGUGGUUAACACAAUCUCACAAGUGAUAAAAGAGCAGAGAAAAAAUAUUAGUGGAGUGCUCAGCCACAAAUAAGACAUGGAUGUAUUCACCUUCUCUCAAGACUCAGAGGCCAUCUUGGAAGUGUAACUGUGUCUUAUGGACAUGGCGAGACCCCUGUAUUCAUGAACUCAGCUGCUGUGGUUGCCUGUACAAGCCCUGAAACAAGAUUAAGCCUGUCAACAUUCCGGCACAGGGGUGAAAGCCCCUCAAAAGGCUCAUGAGUAGCUAUUGAUAUGUAGUGGCUUUGGAGGGAGGUAGAAUUUGUCUUCUUCACAGGAGAACUGGUAGGCUAAUUACACUCCAGCAUUGACAUGCAGCACAAAGAGGGCUCAGUAGGUUACUAAGAAAGAAGAGAAACCAGAAACUGAAAGACAGAGAGAAGAGAGAGAAAGAAAAAGAAA
This is a non-coding RNA of Peromyscus maniculatus bairdii (prairie deer mouse), 613 nucleotides long. The record is from RefSeq and is a predicted model, not a curated record. NCBI's taxonomy places the organism in Eukaryota, Metazoa, Chordata, Mammalia, Rodentia, Cricetidae.